GCUAAGAUAGUUUAUUAAAAUGUUACAUUGUGGUUGUGAAGAUGUAUUGUACUUUUAGCA
Molecule: transfer RNA, 60 nt
Filed under: Eulimnogammarus cyaneus
Lineage: Eukaryota; Metazoa; Arthropoda; Malacostraca; Amphipoda; Eulimnogammaridae
Description: tRNA-His
Source: RNAcentral